This 2566-nucleotide long non-coding RNA is filed under the name Papio anubis (olive baboon). Its description in RNAcentral is "lncRNA (ENSPANG00000045792.1)". The record is from RNAcentral. Lineage: Eukaryota; Metazoa; Chordata; Mammalia; Primates; Cercopithecidae.
CCUAGGCUGGCGGAGAGGCGCACCUGUCUGAGAUGCUUAUAGAUUUGAUUAGAUAACAUUUGUCAGCUGCAUCAGCCGCAGGUAACUCCUGACGAGAAUUGUAUUUCCCUGUAGGUAGUGGAACCAAGCGAUGUUCCAGAUUUCAUGGGGUUGCCAAAGAGGCUUGCAGGGGCGUCAUGCCUAAGAGGCUGUACAACAGUUGUCAAGAAUUGCUUCAUGUGAUUAUGGAGGCUGACAAGUCCCAAGACUCACAGUUGGUAAGCUGGACACCCAAGAAAGCUGGUGCUGCACAUAUUACCAGUGAUGAGUUCCAGUCUGAAUCUGAAGGCCUGAGAACCAGGACAGUUGAUGGUGUAAGUUCCAGUCCAAGGUCAGGAGAAGCCUAAUGUUCUAACGUAACAUCACGCAGCCUUUUUGUUCUAUUCAUGUUUCAAAGUAAUUGGAUGAGACCCAACCACAUGAGGGAGGCCAGUCUGCUUUACUGAGUCUACCAAUUAAAAUCUAAUCUUAUCCAGAAACACCUUUUAGACACAUCCACAGUGACAUUUGACCAAAUAUCUGAGCACUCAAAGGCUUAGGCAAGUCGACACGUAAAAUUAAUGAUCACAAGGAGGGAGAAUGGAUUCAACAGAUAUUUAAAAGUAUUCAUAAUAGAAAAGUAUUUAUUGUAUUUAUUUAUGUGGCAGGCAGUAUUCUGAGUGCUUUCGUUGUUGUAUCAGUGAAAACACUAGUUAGGUAAGAAAAGUGUUGCCUCUGUGAGGUGGUUACUAUUAUUGUCCUCAUUUAGCAGAUGAGAAAACAGGGGCAGAGAAAAAUUUACAUAAUUUCCUGGCACUCAUGCAAUUGAUAAGUAUCUGAACUGGGAUUCGAACCCAAACUAACUCAGAGUUUAAGCUCUUAACUGCUAUUCUAGAGUCCUCCUUGGGGACAGGUGAUUGUAGGUAGAAAAAAAGAAAUAUGGGGAAAGGCAUGCUGAAUUGAAAAAAAAAAAACAAAACACCUUUCUAAAUGAAACUGAGAACCACAUCUUCUAGUACUAAUUGUAGGUAGAGAACUCUGCUAAAUAUUUUGCAAGCAUUAUCCAAUUUAAUGUUACAAACCACACUGGACAUGAGAAGCCAUUAUAUCCAUUUUAUAGCAGAGAAAACUGGCUGGGUUGGAAGUGCAGCUGGGGCAUUGUCGAUACUGUGAUCUUAGAUAUAUUCAUCUGUCAGACUCUAGCUGAUUCCAAACUCCUUGUUCAUUCUAUUAGGUUGUGCUACGAGAAAAAAUUUUGUAAGCUUUAAAAGUGGUAAGUCAACUCAAGGCACAGCCAAUAAACAUUUAUAUGAUUGUACAUGAUUUACCUAACUCUGCAGAGGGAGCCAGAUUUCCUUUAGUGCAGUAACAAAGAAUGGCUCCUGCAUAUCCCCAGCAAUUCUCAUGAAAAGGUGGAUAUUAUAUUCUCUUGAAUAGAAAGGCAUAUUUUUCUCUUAGUCCUAUUACUGGCAACUUCUAAAUUUAAUAACAAAAUGCUCACCUACAAAUAAGAAGAAUAAAAGCUUAACUUGUCACAGGGGGAAAAAAAGUUCUAUGAUGUAACAGACCCAGGAAUAAGUGAUAUUCCUGGGAAGGUCACUGCCUGAGGCUGCUUGAUAAACUCCAGCCCUUUCCUGUAUCCACUGUUUAAUGUUUAAGCUUUGGAUGCUAAGAGUGGUUAUAAUAAACUGUCCAACAGCUUCUCACUUAGACUUCCCAAGAAGGUGACAAAAUAAAAUUGGUGUAAAGCUGUCAAAAGAGAGGCUCAUCACUGAAGUAUAUUUUGCUCACUCACCCAUUUGAAAGCAAGUAUUUCCUUUAAUCAACUCUUUAGAGAAUUUAACCAGUGGAACACCAAGAGCCUCCAAUGAACGUUUCCCAUCUAAAUUCUUUUUAAGAAAAAUGCAGGCAAAUUCCUGAGUUGACCUUGUUCUGAUAAGUCUCCUUGAGGUAAGGUCGUCAUAAUUCUCACCCACAUUUUUCCACUGUCUUGUCAGAUGAAUCCGUGAAAUUCACAGAUUAACCCAAGUCCCUCACUCAGACAUUCUAAAUGCACCAAAUGUUCAAGUGUAACAAAAAAUUACACAUCUGGUAAUUCUGCAUGUUAUUUAUAGGCUUUCUGAUAGAGGCGUAAUUGAUUCAGAAAUGUAAUUUACAGCCUGGCAUCUCCGUUUCAAAGCUUCAAUUCUGUGACAUCCACCAAGAGAGUAAUCUCACUUUUGUGAGGAAGCAAAGAUAAUAAUUGUAAAGAAUUUUUGUAUGAUAGCCUCAUGCUUUUGCAUAAAGUUUUUCUUGCUCCUUGUUUUUCAUUUGCAAAGUGGGCAAUAUUCAUGUCAGCCACACACUUUUAAUUCCACAGAAUGGUUUAUGAAGACAUAAAUGGAGCAUAAAGUUGCUCAACAAACCCUGGGGUGAUGGCAAAUGGCUAAGGCAAGUUUCUCUUGCCCUCUAGUUUUAAUUGCAACCCUCAUAAGAAAACACUCUCUAAUUUAACUAGGUAAUCGUUCUCUUCAAAGAGAACAUUUGUUAUUUAGUGCCAUUUCGAAAA